This is a non-coding RNA of Caenorhabditis remanei, 72 nucleotides long. The record is from Rfam. NCBI's taxonomy places the organism in Eukaryota, Metazoa, Nematoda, Chromadorea, Rhabditida, Rhabditidae.
GGGGGUAUAGCUCAGUGGUAGAGCGCGCGCGUAGCGUGGGAGAGGGCUGGGGUUCGAUUCCCCAUACCUCCA